CGCCCCUCUGAAAUUGCCCCGCCCCGAUUUUUUUUAUUUUAUAAAAUUUACGAUUUCCGGAUUUUGUUCAUUCCCGUUACCGGUAACCGUUAAAAUUUCGUUUCAUUCAAUGCUUCCUGUUUCAAAUUUCGGUUUUGUACCUCGAGUUAAUCUAACCAAAAUGAUUAAGUCGACCUUUCCGCUGCUCUAUGAUGACAACAUCAUCUUCCGAGAGUAAAGAUUGAUAACGAUAAUGACAUGAAAUAUUGGUGUUACGAGAAAAACGCUGUUUCCAAGACUGCAAAUCGCGGUAUGUCACAAAUUUCUGUGAUUAGAAAACUGCGGACUUUUUUAUUUAUGCAAUGACUUUGUCUCAGGAAAUUUAAACUGUAAAUGAUACCCAAAGCACAUGAUUCGUGGAAACCAU
This 406-nucleotide long non-coding RNA is filed under the name Mytilus galloprovincialis (Mediterranean mussel). The record is from RNAcentral. Lineage: Eukaryota; Metazoa; Mollusca; Bivalvia; Mytilida; Mytilidae.